UGUGAACUUAUACCUAUACUGUUGCCUCGGCGCUGGCCGGCCUCCUCACCGAGGCCCCCUGGAGACAGGGAGCAGCCCGCCGGCGGCCAACCAAACUCUUGUUUCUUAGUGAAUCUCUGAGUAAAAAACAUAAUGAAUCAAAACUUUCAACAACGGAUCUCUUGGUUCUGGCAUCGAUGAAGAACGCAGCGAAAUGCGAUAAGUAAUGUGAAUUGCAGAAUUCAGUGAAUCAUCGAAUCUUUGAACGCACAUUGCGCCCUCUGGUAUUCCGGAGGGCAUGCCUGUUCGAGCGUCAUUUCAACCCUCAAGCCUAGCUUGGUGUUGGGGCACCGCCUUCGCAAGAGGGCGGGCCCUGAAAUCUAGUGGCGAGCUCGCCAGGACCCCGAGCGUAGUAGUUAUAUCUCGUUCUGGAAGGCCCUGGCGGUGCCCUGCCGUUAAACCCCCAACUUCUGAAAUUUUGACCUCGGAUCAGGUAGGAAUACCCGCUGAACUUAAGCAUAUCAAUAAGC
RNAcentral lists this ribosomal RNA (509 nucleotides) under fungal sp. A54. RNAcentral describes it as "eukaryotic LSU rRNA". The stretch from base 142 to 295 matches the Rfam family "5.8S ribosomal RNA". The record is from RNAcentral. Lineage: Eukaryota; Fungi.